GUGUGAAGAGAAAGUUCCAAUCGAAGUAAAGAAGUUUUUCGUACGAAUCCAAGUGGAGAAAAAAAUUAAAAUAGCUACGUUAGCCUAACUGGUGAAUCAGGACCCAUUAUUGGAGGAUUUUUGCCAUAUCUAUCCGCGUGGCUAGGAAGCCAAAAGCCAUCUAGAGACUGAGCCAACUCAGUUCCCGGGGUGGUGUGCCCAUUAGAAUUCACUCCCGUACGACGAAGCAGCUCCGAGACCCAGCGAGGAACGACAAAGAGACACCACGCCGUAGUUUCCCCAACCCAACCAGAUCCAGCAUCAGCCGGCCGGCACAGCGCAUUUUUACACACCAUACACUCACACAAACGUAAGUCAGAAUAAAAUCAUAACUAUAGACGACCGUAUUUGGCUUCCGAUUGGUGUCACAUGUCCCAAAGCCGACCUUGAGCCUCCGAAACUCACGCUCGUGCUAGCCAUCAAAAGAGGCCUUUGGAGCCCAGCCCCGGAUAGUCCCCAGAGGUACGACCAGGGACUGGGGUGAUUUGAGCUGGUCCUUCCGACCGUAGAGAGAUAACAAGAGAGAUGGACUUAGAAAAAACCAUUGCCCGAAUAGGACAGUCUAAGGAACGAAAUGCGUAUUGUCCGUAAGUAAAUAUAUAUAGAUGCUUUGUUUUGCGGAUAAAAGAUUUCGGUCGGUGGUUGAAAUUUUAUUUUCGGACUUAGAAGCGUGGAACUCUUUGUCAGUAAUAGACGUAAUAGUUGUGUACCGGUAGGAGACAGCCGACUAAAGAAAAGUGUCAUCUAAAGUUAUCUAAAGACGGUAGAACCCACCAAUUCAACGUGGGUUUUUUUUGUUGGACUGGAACCCUGUCGGACCCGUCGUAUGCGCAACCACGUGCGGACCCUUCGGUCCUUGACCAUGUUGGUGUUAUGGUAGCACCCGGUUGCCCUAGAUUGGGUGUGCUAACUCGCUAACACGCGAAAAGGUGCGCGAUCCACGCCGUGUCGGAGACAUCAGAAACACCACCGAAGCGAACUUUCGGAAACGCCAUCUCUCCUUCGACACCUACAGUAGCCGCCCACCGUUACCGAUGUGCCGGCGGUGCCGCGGAGAAUUCACCACCGCCGCCCGGGUUGCCCGCUACCCGCUAUGAUUGAACACGUCGCCAGCUGCUAAAACGCCUGAGUUUACUUCGCCACUUCAUCAUCUACCAACAAUGCUAAGGUCAGAACCAACUGUUAUAUUAUAUGCUAGUGAAUAUGUUGUAUACAUGAAUUUAACGUUAAACGAUCGACACAAUGCUAAGCUAGGAGUGACGUCACGUUAGGGACUGUUUAUGUUGUUCAA
Molecule: long non-coding RNA, 1330 nt
Organism: Wyeomyia smithii (pitcher-plant mosquito)
Lineage: Eukaryota; Metazoa; Arthropoda; Insecta; Diptera; Culicidae
Exons: 3
Source: RefSeq, a predicted model, not a curated record